RNAcentral lists this ribosomal RNA (766 nucleotides) under uncultured Alteromonadaceae bacterium. RNAcentral describes it as "bacterial SSU rRNA". It matches the Rfam family "Bacterial small subunit ribosomal RNA", at positions 56 to 818 of the family's 1533-position model. The record is from RNAcentral. Lineage: Bacteria; Pseudomonadati; Pseudomonadota; Gammaproteobacteria; Alteromonadales; Alteromonadaceae.
UGCAAGUCGAGCGGUAACAGGUCCAGCUUGCUGGAUGCUGACGAGCGGCGGACGGGUGAGUAAUGCAUAGGAAUCUGCCCGAUAGUGGGGGAUAACCUGGGGAAACCCAGGCUAAUACCGCAUACGUCCUACGGGAGAAAGGGGGCUCCGGCUCCCGCUAUGGGAUGAGCCUAUGUCGGAUUAGCUAGUUGGUGAGGUAACGGCUCACCAAGGCCACGAUCCGUAGCUGGUCUGAGAGGAUGAUCAGCCACAUCGGGACUGAGACACGGCCCGAACUCCUACGGGAGGCAGCAGUGGGGAAUAUUGCACAAUGGGGGAAACCCUGAUGCAGCCAUGCCGCGUGUGUGAAGAAGGCCUUCGGGUUGUAAAGCACUUUCAGUUGUGAGGAAAAGUUAGUAGUUAAUACCUGCUAGCCGUGACGUUAACAACAGAAGAAGCACCGGCUAACUCCGUGCCAGCAGCCGCGGUAAUACGGAGGGUGCGAGCGUUAAUCGGAAUUACUGGGCGUAAAGCGCACGCAGGCGGUUUGUUAAGCUAGAUGUGAAAGCCCCGGGCUCAACCUGGGAUGGUCAUUUAGAACUGGCAGACUAGAGUCUUGGAGAGGGGAGUGGAAUUCCAGGUGUAGCGGUGAAAUGCGUAGAUAUCUGGAGGAACAUCAGUGGCGAAGGCGACUCCCUGGCCAAAAGACUGACGCUCAUGUGCGAAAGUGUGGGUAGCGAACAGGAUUAGAUACCCUGGUAGUCCACACCGUAAACGCUGUCUACUA